RNAcentral lists this ribosomal RNA (388 nucleotides) under Propithecus diadema (diademed sifaka). Its description in RNAcentral is "partial 12S ribosomal RNA". It matches the Rfam family "Bacterial small subunit ribosomal RNA", at positions 798 to 1380 of the family's 1533-position model. Lineage: Eukaryota; Metazoa; Chordata; Mammalia; Primates; Indriidae. The record is from RNAcentral.
AGCCAUAAACUUAAGUAGUUAACAAACAAUACUACUCGCCAGAGUACUACAAGCAACAGCUCAAAACUCAAAGGACUUGGCGGUGCUUUAUACCCCUCUAGAGGAGCCUGUUCUAUAAUCGAUAAACCCCGAUAGACCCUACCACUUCUUGCUAAUCCAAUCUAUAUACCGCCAUCCCCAGCAAACCCUAUCAAGGCCCUAAAGUAAGCGCAAGCAUAUUACAUAAAAACGUUAGGUCAAGGUGUAGUCUAUGAAGUGGGAAGAAAUGGGCUACAUUUUCUAAUAACAGAACAGCACAUAUAACAGCAACCUUUAUGAAACUAAAGGCCAAAGGAGGAUUUAGUAGUAAAUUAAGAAUAGAGAGCUUAAUUGAAUAGGGCCAUGAAGC